Molecule: ribosomal RNA, 559 nt
Filed under: Carteromyces arctostaphyli
Lineage: Eukaryota; Fungi; Ascomycota; Sordariomycetes; Sordariales; Chaetomiaceae
Description: Carteria arctostaphyli partial 28S ribosomal RNA
Rfam family: Eukaryotic large subunit ribosomal RNA
Source: RNAcentral
GCAUAUCAAUAAGCGGAGGAAAAGAAACCAACAGGGAUUGCCCCAGUAACGGCGAGUGAAGCGGCAACAGCUCAAAUUUGAAAUCUGGCCCCGGCCCGAGUUGUAAUUUGUAGAGGAAGCUUUUGGCGCGGCACCUUCUGAGUCCCCUGGAACGGGGCGCCAUAGAGGGUGAGAGCCCCGUAUAGUCGGAUGCCUAGCCUUUGUAAAGCUCCUUCGACGAGUCGAGUAGUUUGGGAAUGCUGCUCAAAAUGGGAGGUAAAUUUCUUCUAAAGCUAAAUACCGGCCAGAGACCGAUAGCGCACAAGUAGAGUGAUCGAAAGAUGAAAAGCACUUUGAAAAGAGGGUCAAAAGUACGUGAAAUUGUUGAAAGGGAAGCGCUUGUGACCAGACUUGCGCCGGGCCGAUCAUCCGGUGUUCUCACCGGUGCACUCGGCCCGGCUCAGGCCAGCAUCGGUUCUCGCGGGGGGACAAAGGUCCCGGGAACGUAGCUCCUCCGGGAGUGUUAUAGCCCGGGGCGUAAUGCCCUCGCGGGGACCGAGGACCGCGCUCUGCAAGGAUG